UACGGAGGGUGCAAACGUUAAUCGGAAUUACUGGGCGUAAAGCGCGCGUAGGCGGCUUGGUAAGUCGAUUGUGAAAGCCCCGGGCUCAACCUGGGAAUUGCAGUCGAGACUGUCAGGCUAGAGUGUGGGAGAGGGCAGUGGAAUUCCCGGUGUAGCGGUGAAAUGCGUAGAUAUCGGGAGGAACAUCAGUGGCGAAGGCGACUGCCUGGCCCAACACUGACGCUGAGGUGCGAAAGCGUGGGUGGCAAACAGG
This 253-nucleotide ribosomal RNA is filed under the name uncultured bacterium. RNAcentral describes it as "partial 16S ribosomal RNA". It matches the Rfam family "Bacterial small subunit ribosomal RNA", at positions 524 to 776 of the family's 1533-position model. The record is from RNAcentral.